Molecule: non-coding RNA, 114 nt
Organism: Pelobates cultripes (western spadefoot toad)
Lineage: Eukaryota; Metazoa; Chordata; Amphibia; Anura; Pelobatidae
Source: the annotation of a GenBank genome assembly
GUGCCUAUAGUGUCCCUUUAACCCCUUAAGGACCAAACUUCUGGAAUAAAAGGGAAUCAUGACAUGUCCUACAUGUCAUGUGUCCUUAAGGGGUUAAGGGAACACUAUAGUCAC